AGCGAACGCUGGCGGCGUGCUUAACACAUGCAAGUCGAGCGAGAAAGGGGGCUUCGGCCCCUGAGUACAGCGGCGAACGGGUGCGUAAUACAUGAGCAAUCUAUCCUUGAGGCGGGAAUAACCCAGCGAAAGUUGGGCUAAUACCGGAUGAGACCACAGGAGGAAACUCCAGGGGUCAAAGGCAGCUCUCUUUUGGGAGCGGCCCUUCGAAGAGGAGCUCAUGUCCUAUCAGCUAGUUGGUAGGGUAACGGCCUACCAAGGCGAAGACGGGUAGCUGGUCUUAGAGGAUGAUCAGCCACACGGGGACGUGAGACACGGCCCCGACUCCGUACGGGGGCGAGCAGUGGGGAA
RNAcentral lists this ribosomal RNA (351 nucleotides) under uncultured bacterium. Its description in RNAcentral is "bacterial SSU rRNA". It matches the Rfam family "Bacterial small subunit ribosomal RNA", at positions 29 to 361 of the family's 1533-position model. The record is from RNAcentral.